RNAcentral lists this ribosomal RNA (390 nucleotides) under uncultured bacterium. Its description in RNAcentral is "bacterial SSU rRNA". It matches the Rfam family "Bacterial small subunit ribosomal RNA", at positions 527 to 916 of the family's 1533-position model. The record is from RNAcentral.
GUAGGGGGCAAGCGUUAUCCGGAUUUACUGGGUGUAAAGGGAGCGUAGACGGAGAGGCAAGUCUGAUGUGAAAACCCGGGGCUCAACCCCGGGACUGCAUUGGAAACUGUUUUUCUAGAGUGUCGGAGAGGUAAGCGGAAUUCCUAGUGUAGCGGUGAAAUGCGUAGAUAUUAGGAGGAACACCAGUGGCGAAGGCGGCUUACUGGACGAUGACUGACGUUGAGGCUCGAAAGCGUGGGGAGCAAACAGGAUUAGAUACCCUGGUAGUCCACGCCGUAAACGAUGACUACUAGGUGUCGGGUGGCAAAGCCAUUCGGUGCCGCAGCAAACGCAAUAAGUAGUCCACCUGGGGAGUACGUUCGCAAGAAUGAAACUCAAAGGAAUUGACGG